RNAcentral lists this ribosomal RNA (496 nucleotides) under uncultured bacterium. RNAcentral describes it as "partial 16S ribosomal RNA". It matches the Rfam family "Bacterial small subunit ribosomal RNA", at positions 30 to 523 of the family's 1533-position model. The record is from RNAcentral.
AUUGAACGCUGGCGGAAUGCUUUACACAUGCAAGUCGAACGGUAGAGGGGGCAACCCCUCGAGAGUGGCGAACGGGUGAGUAAUAUAUCGGAACGUGCCCAGUCGUGGGGGAUAACGUAGCGAAAGUUACGCUAAUACCGCAUACGAUCUAAGGAUGAAAGCGGGGGAUCGCAAGACCUCGCGCGAUUGGAGCGGCCGAUAUCAGAUUAGGUAGUUGGUGGGGUAAAGGCUCACCAAGCCAACGAUCUGUAGCUGGUCUGAGAGGACGACCAGCCACACUGGAGCUGAGACACGGUCCCGACUCCUACGGGAGGCAGCAGUGGGGAAUUUUGGACAAUGGACGCAAGUCUGAUCCAGCCAUUCCGCGUGCAGGAUGAAGGCCCUCGGGUUGUAAACUGCUUUUGUACGGAACGAAAAGGUCUCUCUUAAUACGGGGGGCUCAUGACGGUACCGUAAGAAUAAGCACCGGCUAACUACGUGCCAGCCGCCGCAGUAA